UUAAUUGAAACCAAAUUAGAGGUAUAUUAUUGUUAAUAAUAAAAAUGAAGUUAUUCCAAUUAAA
This 64-nucleotide transfer RNA is filed under the name Gynaikothrips uzeli. Its description in RNAcentral is "tRNA-Asn". The record is from RNAcentral. Lineage: Eukaryota; Metazoa; Arthropoda; Insecta; Thysanoptera; Phlaeothripidae.